GAGUUUGAUCAUGGCUCAGGAUGAACGCUAGCGGCAGGCUUAACACAUGCAAGUCGAGGGGCAGCGGGGAGGAAGCUUGCUUUCUCCGCCGGCGACCGGCGCACGGGUGAGUAACACGUAUGCAACCUGCCCCUGUCAGGGGGACAACCCGCCGAAAGGCGGGCUAAACCCGCGUACAUGCCACCGGGGCAUCCCGGAGGCAGGAAAGGCUUCGGCCGGGACAGGGAUGGGCAUGCGGCGCAUUAGGCAGUAGGCGGGGUAACGGCCCACCUAACCGACGAUGCGUAGGGGUUCUGAGAGGAAGGUCCCCACACUGGUACUGAGACACGGACCAGACUCCUACGGGAGGCAGCAGUGAGGAAUAUUGGUCAAUGGUCGGGAGACUGAACCAGCCAAGCCGCGUGAGGGAGGAAGGUACAGAGUAUCGUAAACCUCUUUUGUC
RNAcentral lists this ribosomal RNA (442 nucleotides) under uncultured microorganism. RNAcentral's name for it is "bacterial SSU rRNA". It matches the Rfam family "Bacterial small subunit ribosomal RNA", at positions 9 to 440 of the family's 1533-position model. The record is from RNAcentral.